RNAcentral lists this ribosomal RNA (253 nucleotides) under uncultured bacterium. RNAcentral's name for it is "partial 16S ribosomal RNA". It matches the Rfam family "Bacterial small subunit ribosomal RNA", at positions 524 to 776 of the family's 1533-position model. The record is from RNAcentral.
UACAGAGGGGGCGAGCGUUGUUCGGAAUUACUGGGCGUAAAGGGCGCGUAGGCGGCCUGCUAAGUCGGACGUGAAAUCCCUCGGCUCAACCGGGGAACUGCGUCCGAUACUGGCGGGCUUGAAUUCGGGAGAGGGAUGCGGAAUUCCAGGUGUAGCGGUGAAAUGCGUAGAUAUCUGGAGGAACACCGGUGGCGAAGGCGGCAUCCUGGACCGAGAUUGACGCUGAUGCGCGAAAGCUGGGGGAGCAAACGGG